GCUGACAUCACAAUAGCAGCCGCCCUAGGCUGGAUUGUGAAUUCAUGCAUAGAACCAGACCUGCUCUACACCUAAUGCCAAAAAAAGCCUGCAAAGUUCUCCUCUGCUACAAAGCAACACAAAAAGCCCUCCUAGUCCAUCACCUGUUGCUCAAGGCAUGUAAGAGCAGGAACACACUCAGCCCCUAGAGCCCACACUGAGAAGCUGAGCACUGAGAAGGGACCAGGAUAUGAGGAACCACAUUAGUGGUCUUUGGCCACUAUUUCUGCUGAGCAAAAAUCAGAAGGCUUGUUCCUUUGUGGUAGAAAUCAGAAAACAAGGAGAAGAAGCACUGCUUUAAUUACAUUUAGAGGUUUCUCCUAGGUACAGAGACAUGGUCAUGGAUCUUUCUGUAUAUAUAUUUUAUUUAUAUAUACACAUAUAUAUAUCUAUAUAUAUGUAUGUGUAUUAUAUUAUUGAAUACUAUAUAUUCAAAACAUUUUACAUCAUAGCUAUGGGAAAUGGCAUUCCCACAGCAGGGAAAUGCCAUGACAGAAAAUGCAAGGAGGAUCGUUCUGUCUGACUCACUCUAACAGGGAGGCCUUGGGACCAAAGCACCACCACCAUUUUUUCCCCCAUUUUUCUCCUUCCACAAUAUUGCUCAGGAGGCGGGGCUGAAAUGGGUGGCACGGAAGUGGCAGCUCUGACACACAGCUGAAACCAUCAGGGCCAGGGUGGCAUGUGGGACUGUUUUUCCACUGCAACAGAACAAGGCAAGCCAGAGUGGUGACACUGAUCCCAAGUGAGUCCAGCCAAGCCAAGUGGAGCCCAGCAGGGUGGUAGGAAGAGGCAGCAAAGUGGCAGAUCCCAUUCCCACACACAUGCCCAGCGUGGCAGACUGAUGGCAGUGGCAGUGCCAAACAGAGCUCUGCAGGGACAGAGAGACACCCAUCACCAUCGCCACUGCCACCAUCCCUGCUGCAGAGAGGGAGCAGGAAACUGCCACUGCAGGUGCACAGCUGCUCCAGGCAGCACCAGCAGCCCCCAUCUACCAUCAGAACCAUUCUGAGAGAGAGGAGAGGCUUUACAAGGACUACCUCAAGAAGAGGACAUAGAAUGGAGGGAAGGCCUUCGAAAGAAUAAACAACCUUCAUGCUGCCGCUUUUGCAAGGAAUAAAUAUCCAGGUUUCUUAAUAUCCAGCCACAAAUCUGUGGAGUCUUGACAGCCAAGAAGCACAGGAACCUGGACACCUUGUUGUGAGAGACUAGAGGAGAUUGCUGGCUCAACACUUUUCAGGGGCUUGUAUGUGGGGAAGGGGCAGAUCAAGCCUUGCUCUGGUGAGGCCAUGCCCCACUCGGCAUGCCCCACACCCCCAGGCCUGUAUCCCAGCCCAGCAGCGGCCACUGAUCCCUGGCACACCAGAGGCAAUGCCCCACACCUGUGUCUGGAGCCCCUAACCCAGCUCCUAAAUGGCCAGGUGAGUGGGAGCCCCAUGAGGGGGAAGGCCCCAGGAGAGCCAAAGGCUAUUUACCUUGGGAUAUGUGGCCACCAUAUGUCUUGACCCUACCUCUUCUUGGAAUUUCUAUCGGCUGAACACCACUGGAACCUGGAGUGAUAGCUGUGUUGGUUCUUUUCUGUCAUUCUCUUUUUCUCUUUCUUCUCCCUUUUCCCUCCUCUCAGAUUUUUGAAAAUAACUUAAAAUGUAACAGGUUUAGUAAUCUAAAUGAAAAUUAACUUACUAAGAUUAUAAGUUGAAUGGGCUAAAUUAAUGCUUCAUAGAAUGUUUUAUGUUGAUUGAAUCCUGCUCUAAAUUAUUUUUGCCUUUCAAGUUCUCUGAUUUUCAAAUGUUGCCAGUGAAGGGUUUUGAUGUUGUUCCGAACUCUUGAGAACAUCUCGUCAGUAUUUCUCCUGCUUUUCUAACUUACAGUACAUGAACAAGUUUAAAUUCUUUUAAAGUAUCUCAUAGACCAACGUUUUUGGAGGCUUGCAUUUUAAUUGGCACAGCAAGCAGGGUACUCUUGAGGUGAUAUGGGCCUUUUAUACAGCAUUAACUGUUCAUGACAUAAUAAAGGAGAAAUAAAUUUUCAGUCAAA
Passer domesticus (house sparrow) is the source of this 2073-nucleotide long non-coding RNA. RefSeq lists it as uncharacterized. The transcript is spliced from 2 exons. The record is from RefSeq and is a predicted model, not a curated record. NCBI's taxonomy places the organism in Eukaryota, Metazoa, Chordata, Aves, Passeriformes, Passeridae.